GGGGAUGUAUUGAAUCGACGUGAGCGCUCUUUACCAUCGGCAGACCGUCGUGACCACCGACGCUAAACAGGGUCAAAACUUUAACUGCUGAUUCAAUUCUCAGCAAAGCGAAGCGCACAAUUUCCGGAUCGGUCGAUGCUUUGGCAGACGCCGUGUUCGGUAGCGCUCCCGCUCCAGCCGCGCUAAUAGCGUAAGCUGGCAUUCAAGCGUCGUUCUCGCUGAUGGCGGCCUUGGGUGAAAAUCCAGUCAGCGUGACAGUUCCCGGAGGGCGCGCCGCCGGGCACCCAAGAUCAAGGCGCGAGAGGACAAGUAGGUUCGUCCGGGUUCAACAUCUCGUCCUUAAUCUUAAAACCCAGACUAUGUCUGUAGAUGAUGGCUAAGAUGUUCCUUGCGGACAGGGGGUCGCUCCCCCUCAUCUCCACAA
This 424-nucleotide transfer-messenger RNA is filed under the name Candidatus Pacebacteria bacterium CG10_big_fil_rev_8_21_14_0_10_56_10. It matches the Rfam family "transfer-messenger RNA". From Rfam's summary of the family: Bacterial tmRNA, also known as 10Sa RNA or SsrA, is named for its dual tRNA and mRNA-like properties. Its role is to liberate the mRNA from a stalled ribosome. To accomplish this part of the tmRNA is used as a reading frame that ends in a translation stop signal. The record is from RNAcentral. Lineage: Bacteria; Bacillati; Minisyncoccota.